CAGCCGCCGCGGGAAUACGUAGGUGGCAAGCGUUGUCCGGAAUUAUUGGGCGUAAAGCGCACGUAGGCGGAUAUUUAAGUCAGGGGUGAAAUCCCAGAGCUCAACUCUGGAACUGCCUUUGAUACUGGGUAUCUUGAGUAUGGAAGAGGUGAGUGGAAUUCCGAGUGUAGAGGUGAAAUUCGUAGAUAUUCGGAGGAACACCAGUGGCGAAGGCGGCUCACUGGUCCAUUACUGACGCUGAGGUGCGAAAGCGUGGGGAGCAAACAGGAUUAGAUACCCCAGUAGUCCCUGUCUCUUAUAA
RNAcentral lists this ribosomal RNA (301 nucleotides) under uncultured bacterium. RNAcentral describes it as "partial 16S ribosomal RNA". It matches the Rfam family "Bacterial small subunit ribosomal RNA", at positions 509 to 809 of the family's 1533-position model. The record is from RNAcentral.